RNAcentral lists this ribosomal RNA (253 nucleotides) under uncultured bacterium. Its description in RNAcentral is "partial 16S ribosomal RNA". It matches the Rfam family "Bacterial small subunit ribosomal RNA", at positions 524 to 776 of the family's 1533-position model. The record is from RNAcentral.
UACGUAGGCAGCAAGCGUUGUUCGGAAUUACUGGGCGUAAAGAGUGUGUAGGCGGUGCUCUAAGUUCGGUGUGAAAUCUCCCGGCUCAACUGGGAGGGUGCGCCGAAAACUGGAGUGCUGGAGCGCGGGAGAGGAAAGCGGAAUUCCUGGUGUAGCGGUGAAAUGCGCAGAUAUCAGGAGGAGCACCAAUUGCGAAGGCAGCUCGCUGGGACGUUACUGACGCUGAGACGCGAAAGCGUGGGGAGCAAACAGG